This 439-nucleotide ribosomal RNA is filed under the name uncultured bacterium. Its description in RNAcentral is "partial 16S ribosomal RNA". It matches the Rfam family "Bacterial small subunit ribosomal RNA", at positions 339 to 795 of the family's 1533-position model. The record is from RNAcentral.
CUACGGGUGGCAGCAGUGAGGAAUAUUGCACAAUGGGGGGAACCCUGAUGCAGCAACGCCGCGUGGAGGAUGACGCAUUUCGGUGUGUAAACUCCUUUUAUAUGUCAAGAAAAUGACGGUAGCAUAUGAAUAAGCACCGGCUAACUCCGUGCCAGCAGCCGCGGUAAUAGGGAGGGUGCAAGCGUUACUCGGAAUCACUGGGCGUAAAGGACGCGUAGGCGGGUUGGAAAGUCAGGUGUGAAAUCCUACAGCUUAACUGUAGAACUGCACUUGAAACUUCUAAUCUAGAGUAUGGGAGGGGGAGAUGGAAUUAGUGGUGUAGGGGUAAAAUCCGUAGAUAUCACUAGGAAUACCUAAAGCGAAGGCGAUCUCCUGGAACAUUACUGACGCUAAGGCGUGAAAGCGUGGGGAGCAAACAGGAUUAGAUACCCUAGUAGUC